GAGGAAUAUUGGUCAAUGGGCGCAAGCCUGAACCAGCCAUCCCGCGUGCAGGAAGACGGCGCUAUGCGUUGUAAACUGCUUUUCCAGGGAGAGAAACUUGCGCACGUGUUGCGCAAUUGACGGUACCCUGGGAAUAAGCAUCGGCUAACUCCGUGCCAGCAGCCGCGGUAAUACGGAGGGUGCGAGCGUUAUCCGGAUUCAUUGGGUUUAAAGGGUGCGUAGGCGGACUAUUAAGUCAGUGGUGAAAUCCUGCAGCUUAACUGCGGAACUGCCAUUGAUACUGAUAGCCUUGAGUUUGGUUAAGGUAGGCGGAAUGUGUAAUGUAGCGGUGAAAUGCUUAGAUAUUACACAGAACACCAAUUGCGUAGGCAGCUUACUGAGCCGACACUGACGCUGAGGCACGAAAGCGUGGGGAUCGAACAG
This 423-nucleotide ribosomal RNA is filed under the name uncultured bacterium. RNAcentral describes it as "bacterial SSU rRNA". It matches the Rfam family "Bacterial small subunit ribosomal RNA", at positions 356 to 775 of the family's 1533-position model. The record is from RNAcentral.